This 301-nucleotide ribosomal RNA is filed under the name uncultured bacterium. RNAcentral's name for it is "partial 16S ribosomal RNA". It matches the Rfam family "Bacterial small subunit ribosomal RNA", at positions 509 to 807 of the family's 1533-position model. The record is from RNAcentral.
CAGUCGCCGCGGUAAUACGUAGGGUGCGAGCGUUAAUCGGAAUUACUGGGCGUAAAGCGUGCGCAGGCGGUUCGUUAAGACAGAUGUGAAAUCCCCGGGCUUAACCUGGGAACUGCAUUUGUGACUGGCGAGCUAGAGUAUGGCAGAGGGGGGUAGAAUUCCACGUGUAGCAGUGAAAUGCGUAGAGAUGUGGAGGAAUACCGAUGGCGAAGGCAGCCCCCUGGGCCAAUACUGACGCUCAGGUGCGAAAGCGUGGGGAACAAACAGGAUUAGAUACCCGCGUAGUCCCUGUCUCUUAUAC